AGCGAACGCUGGCGGCAGGCCUAACACAUGCAAGUCGAACGAACCUUUCGGGGUUAGUGGCGGACGGGUGAGUAACCCGUGGGAACGUGCCUUUAGGUUCGGCAUAACUCAGGGAAACUUGUGCCAAUACCGAAUGUGCCCUUCGGGGGAAAGAUUUAUCGCCUUUAGAGCGGCCCGCGUCUGAUUAGCUAGUUGGUUGAGGUAAUGGCUCACCAAGGCGACGAUCAGUAGCUGGUCUGAGAGGCUGAUCCGCCACAUUGGGACUGAGACACGGCCCAAACUCCUACGGGAGGCGGCAGUGGGGAAUCUUGCGCAAUGGGCGAAAGCCUGACGCAGCCAUGCCGCGUGAAUGAUGAAGGUCUUAGGAUUGUAAAAUUCUUUCACCGGGGACGAUAAUGACGGUACCCGGAGAAGAAGCCCCGGCUAACUUCGUG
RNAcentral lists this ribosomal RNA (434 nucleotides) under uncultured bacterium. RNAcentral describes it as "partial 16S ribosomal RNA". It matches the Rfam family "Bacterial small subunit ribosomal RNA", at positions 29 to 507 of the family's 1533-position model. The record is from RNAcentral.